RNAcentral lists this non-coding RNA (187 nucleotides) under Gammaproteobacteria bacterium. RNAcentral's name for it is "6S RNA". It matches the Rfam family "6S / SsrS RNA". Rfam says of the family: E. coli 6S RNA was the first non coding RNA to be sequenced, but its function was unknown until recently. It consists of 184 nucleotides that fold into an extended hairpin structure with a large single-stranded internal bulge. Lineage: Bacteria; Pseudomonadati; Pseudomonadota; Gammaproteobacteria. The record is from RNAcentral.
CAUCCUCUGCGGUGUACGCCAGCGGGCCUGGGCAAUCCUUGACCCUAAAUAUCGACCCAGGGAACUGAGCCGCCGGUGCUGUGAGCACGUCCGCCGCCGAGCGGAAAGCCUGAUGCAUCGGCCGAGGUUCCCACUUGAACCGACCGGUUCAAGGACAAAGGUCCGCAGCGGCACAGGCGGAGGGUGC